ACUCCUACGGGGAGGCAGCAGUGGGGAAUAUUGCACAAUGGGGGAAACCCUGAUGCAGCCAUGCCGCGUGUGUGAAGAAGGCCUUGGGUUGUAAAGCACUUUCAGUAGGGAGGAAGGUAGUGUAGUUAACACCUGCAUUAUUUGACGUUACCUACAGAAGAAGCGCCGGCUAACUCCGUGCCAGCAGCCGCGGUAAUACGGAGGGUGCGAGCGUUAAUCGGAAUUACUGGGCGUAAAGCGCAUGCAGGCGGCCUGUUAAGUCAGAUGUGAAAGCCCGGGGUCUUAACCUCGGAAUUGCAUUUGAAACUGGCAGGCUAGAGUCUUGUAGAGGGGUUAGAAUUUCAGGUGUAGCGGUGAAAUGCGUAGAGAUCUGAAGGUAAUACCGAGUGGCGAAGGCGGCCCCUGGACAAA
This 411-nucleotide ribosomal RNA is filed under the name uncultured bacterium. Its description in RNAcentral is "bacterial SSU rRNA". It matches the Rfam family "Bacterial small subunit ribosomal RNA", at positions 335 to 737 of the family's 1533-position model. The record is from RNAcentral.